This 1281-nucleotide ribosomal RNA is filed under the name Staphylococcus aureus. Its description in RNAcentral is "bacterial SSU rRNA". It matches the Rfam family "Bacterial small subunit ribosomal RNA", at positions 35 to 1299 of the family's 1533-position model. The record is from RNAcentral. Lineage: Bacteria; Bacillati; Bacillota; Bacilli; Caryophanales; Staphylococcaceae.
GCUGGCGNCGUGCCUAUCAUGCUAGUCGAGCGAACGGACGAGAAGCUUGCUUCUCUGAUGUUAGCGGCGGACGGGUGAGUAACACGUGGAUAACCUACCUAUAAGACUGGGAUAACUUCGGGAAACCGGAGCUAAUACCGGAUAAUAUUUUGAACCGCAUGGUUCAAAAGUGAAAGACGGUCUUGCUGUCACUUAUAGAUGGAUCCGCGCUGCAUUAGCUAGUUGGUAAGGUAACGGCUUACCAAGGCAACGAUGCAUAGCCGACCUGAGAGGGUGAUCGGCCACACUGGAACUGAGACACGGUCCAGACUCCUACGGGAGGCAGCAGUAGGGAAUCUUCCGCAAUGGGCGAAAGCCUGACGGAGCAACGCCGCGUGAGUGAUGAAGGUCUUCGGAUCGUAAAACUCUGUUAUUAGGGAAGAACAUAUGUGUAAGUAACUGUGCACAUCUUGACGGUACCUAAUCAGAAAGCCACGGCUAACUACGUGCCAGCAGCCGCGGUAAUACGUAGGUGGCAAGCGUUAUCCGGAAUUAUUGGGCGUAAAGCGCGCGUAGGCGGUUUUUUAAGUCUGAUGUGAAAGCCCACGGCUCAACCGUGGAGGGUCAUUGGAAACUGGAAAACUUGAGUGCAGAAGAGGAAAGUGGAAUUCCAUGUGUAGCGGUGAAAUGCGCAGAGAUAUGGAGGAACACCAGUGGCGAAGGCGACUUUCUGGUCUGUAACUGACGCUGAUGUGCGAAAGCGUGGGGAUCAAACAGGAUUAGAUACCCUGGUAGUCCACGCCGUAAACGAUGAGUGCUAAGUGUUAGGGGGUUUCCGCCCCUUAGUGCUGCAGCUAACGCAUUAAGCACUCCGCCUGGGGAGUACGACCGCAAGGUUGAAACUCAAAGGAAUUGACGGGGACCCGCACAAGCGGUGGAGCAUGUGGUUUAAUUCGAAGCAACGCGAAGAACCUUACCAAAUCUUGACAUCCUUUGACAACUCUAGAGAUAGAGCCUUCCCCUUCGGGGGACAAAGUGACAGGUGGUGCAUGGUUGUCGUCAGCUCGUGUCGUGAGAUGUUGGGUUAAGUCCCGCAACGAGCGCAACCCUUAAGCUUAGUUGCCAUCAUUAAGUUGGGCACUCUAAGUUGACUGCCGGUGACAAACCGGAGGAAGGUGGGGAUGACGUCAAAUCAUCAUGCCCCUUAUGAUUUGGGCUACACACGUGCUACAAUGGACAAUACAAAGGGCAGCGAAACCGCGAGGUCAAGCAAAUCCCAUAAAGUUGUUCUCAGUUCGGAUU